AUAAUGCUCCGACGACGGUGAGAUACAAACUAUCAUACACGUGCGGCAAUUUCCGCCUAAACUGAACUUUAAAAGACGAGUCAACUUCGAGUCUCUAUAUGGAACAUGUUGUCGACGACGAGGUUCGCACAACGAGUUGAUGCAAUUUCCCAAUGCCAGUAAAGACCGAUUGAUGUUUGCUCCUUCUACUAAACGUUUGCCUCUAUUUUUCGUUGCACUCGCUCUCUCUGAGCCUGCUAAAUCAAUAAAAGAGAAUACGGAACGGACUUUAUGGGAAUUUUGGGACUCUGAUUCCUCCUGCUUCUCACCCGAUUUCGGAGUUUGCGUGAUAUAAAUCUGUAAAACGGCAUGCGAGCGUGACGAAACAGCAUUGGCUUCUGUUGGUG
This is a non-coding RNA of Schizosaccharomyces pombe (fission yeast), 386 nucleotides long. The record is from the annotation of a GenBank genome assembly. NCBI's taxonomy places the organism in Eukaryota, Fungi, Ascomycota, Schizosaccharomycetes, Schizosaccharomycetales, Schizosaccharomycetaceae.